This is a long non-coding RNA of Magallana angulata, 275 nucleotides long. RefSeq lists it as uncharacterized. NCBI's taxonomy places the organism in Eukaryota, Metazoa, Mollusca, Bivalvia, Ostreida, Ostreidae. The transcript is spliced from 3 exons. The record is from RefSeq and is a predicted model, not a curated record.
ACGAUCGUAUCAACAGGAUCCUGUUGGUAACGUAUAAAGAGACGUUUUUUGCCUUUUGCAAAGAAAAAAAAAUUUAAUUGCAGUAAAGAUCAACAUACGGAAGAUGAAAACUUUUAUAUUUCUUAUUUUGGUAGUCCUUUUCAUGGCGGAACUGACCAUGGCCGGCUAUGGAUGCCCCGGGGAUCAAGAUCAAUGUAAUGCCCAUUGCCAAAGCAUCCAGUGUAGAGCAGGGUACUGUGCCUUUUGGACAGCGUAUUUAAGGUGUACCUGCGUUG